UUUCUCCUCUCUUUCUUUCCUUUAGUGUAGUAUGAGUUCAGUACUUCUCCAACAAGUGCAAGACUUUAAUUUUUUAUUUUUUUUUUUCCCUUUCUGAAAAUUCUGGCCACUCCAGUCAGUCAUCGGAGAGUAUCAAGGCAGCUGGUUCCAAAUUUAUUGCUUGGAUACCACUAAGGCCACCUUUGCACCAGUGUUGCAGUAGCAGUAUCAGUUUAAUUAGAAGCUUUCUGUAUGACUCCCACAAACCCAACUGAUUACUGACAUGGGGAAAAUACUGGAGCAAGAAAGUUAUAUGAGGAUAGAAGUGAGGGAGACUUUUAAGGCUAGAGCUUCAUAAAGGAGUAUUUGCAGAGACAUCUAAAGAUGCCAGUCCUAUUGAGCAAAACUGACUUAUAAGUAGGC
RNAcentral lists this long non-coding RNA (402 nucleotides) under Coturnix japonica (Japanese quail). RNAcentral describes it as "lncRNA (ENSCJPG00005003421.1)". Lineage: Eukaryota; Metazoa; Chordata; Aves; Galliformes; Phasianidae. The record is from RNAcentral.